UACGGAAGGCAGCAGUGGGGAAUAUUGCACAAUGGGCGCAAGCCUGAUGCAGCCAUGCCGCGUGUAUGAAGAAGGCCUUCGGGUUGUAAAGUACUUCAGUCGUGAGGAAGGUGUUAAGGUUAAUAACCUUAGCAAUUGACGUUAGCGACAGAAGAAGCACCGGCUAACUCCGUGCCAGCAGCCGCGGUAAUACGGAGGGUGCGAGCGUUAAUCGGAAUUACUGGGCGUAAAGGGCACGCAGGCGGUUAAUUAAGUUGGAUGUGAAAUCCCCGGGCUUAACCUGGGAAUGGCAUUCAAGACUGGUUAGCUAGAGUCUUGUAGAGGGGGUAGAAUUCCAUGUGUAGCGGUGAAAUGCGUAGAGAUGUGGAGGAAUACCGGUGGCGAAGGCGGCCCCUGGACAAAGACUGACGCUCAUGUGCGAAAGCGUGGGGAGCAAACAGGGAUUAGAUACC
RNAcentral lists this ribosomal RNA (452 nucleotides) under uncultured bacterium. RNAcentral's name for it is "bacterial SSU rRNA". It matches the Rfam family "Bacterial small subunit ribosomal RNA", at positions 340 to 786 of the family's 1533-position model. The record is from RNAcentral.